This is a non-coding RNA of Salmo salar (Atlantic salmon), 56 nucleotides long. Lineage: Eukaryota; Metazoa; Chordata; Actinopteri; Salmoniformes; Salmonidae. The record is from Rfam.
UGUAUACACCCAUGACUAAGUCGCUUUGGAUAAAAGUGUCUGCUAAAUGGCAUUUA